This 460-nucleotide ribosomal RNA is filed under the name uncultured bacterium. Its description in RNAcentral is "partial 16S ribosomal RNA". It matches the Rfam family "Bacterial small subunit ribosomal RNA", at positions 338 to 795 of the family's 1533-position model. The record is from RNAcentral.
CCUACGGGCGGCAGCAGUGAGGAAUAUUGGUCAAUGGACGGAAGUCUGAACCAGCCAUGCCGCGUGCAGGAAGACGGUUCUAUGAGUUGUAAACCUCUUUUGUCAGAGGGCAAACGCAGACACGUGUAUCUGUCUGCAAGUACCUUACGAAUAAGCAUCGGCUAACUCCGUGCCAGCAGCCGCGGUAAUACGGAGGAUUCAAGCGUUAUCCGGAUUUAUUGGGUUUAAAGGGUGCGUAGGCGGUCAGGUAAGUUCGGGGUGAAAUUCCGGGGCUCAACACCCGCAUUGCCUCUGAUACUGGUCGUCUAGAGAGUGGUAGAGGUAGGCGGAAUGUGUGGUGUAGCGGUGAAAUGCUUAGAGAUCAUGCAGAACGCCGAUUGCGAAGGCAGCAUACCGGGGUACUUCUGACGUUGAGGCACGAAAGCGUGGGUAGCGAACAGGAUUAGAUACCCUUGUAGUC